CGGACCAGAUCAUUAGUAACGCUGACCCGAUCCAAUUCUUUGAUCAAGUUUUAAUGUUGGAUUCAGAUUCAAUCUAAUAAAAAAUAGGUCGAAUUGGAUUGGAUCCAUGGCCAAAAAUUUUGACCCAACUAGUCAUUCGGGUCAGGCCAGGUCUAUAUAAAACCCAGCCCUAACUUAAAAAAUUUGAGUCCAAAUCAAAUCCGGGUU
This 207-nucleotide long non-coding RNA is filed under the name Elaeis guineensis (African oil palm). RNAcentral describes it as "long non-coding RNA (EGUI_LNC008830)". The record is from RNAcentral. Lineage: Eukaryota; Viridiplantae; Streptophyta; Magnoliopsida; Arecales; Arecaceae.